UACACGAUCAGCUGUCUGGCAAACUCCACAUUUAAGAGUUUUCUGGCCACGCUUGUGUAAAACAAACCAGAGGUGUAACACUUGAGGGGCCAGUUUAAACCACACCAAACAAACAGGUGUGAAAGCAUCUUGCAUGGCGUUGGCGUUGGCUGCAUUCCUCUCUCGCUGCUGUAGCAGUUAUUUCAGCGAUUGCGACACUCGCUGUCUUGAAGCCGCCUGUAUUUGGAACAGCUUCGGUUUGCUCUCGCACAAAGACUGUCUAAGAGGAUGAGUUUGAGGGUGUUAAAGUGAAGGACGCUCUGUGUGUGUGAGUCGCUGCAGCAGUGGAGAAACUUAAAGCUCCAAUUUAUCUUUUGGCCCAAACAAAAAAACUAACUAGCUCUGCUAAAACAUGCAAAAAAAUACUAUAAAGUUCUGUUAGUCUCAUCCACAAAUGUCUUUUUUUUCAUAUCAAUCGGUCAUUUUGUUUGCUUUUUCUCCACUGCCUCUGUUGGAGGCCACGCUUGAUGAAACUUUAAUGAAAGCAAGAAGCUUUCAGUACAUCCCCCAAAAAAAUCGUGUUUGUAUUUUCAGCAAGAAAAACCAAAAAGCUUUUCCAGUUCAACUGUUUUUCUCAUCAAACAUUUACUGUUAAAGUGGAACAAUGUAGAAGAAAAAGCCAUCAAACUGCACCACAGAGAGAGUGAACACGAUGCACUCUGGUUUAUAUCGGGUGUAGGUGUAUGUGAGAGAUGGGGGGUGGAGUACGCGUGUUACUUAGACUAAUUGAUCUCAGUUUGCUUCUUGUGUUUUGUGUCUGUGCUGCUGGGCGUGAGAUUUAUUAUUGUUAUUUGUGUCUACACACACACACACACACACACACACGUGGAUGUGGGUGUAUGUUUGUUUCGGAGUACAUCCAGUUGACGGAUGCAGCUGGUGCAUAAAAUCUAAUCCAGAUAUAAAGGGGAGAAUAAAAACCUGACUGGCACAGAAAGAGAGAGCGAGAGCGUGUUUGACAAUCAGUGCCACGGCUCAUUAAGGCCCAUAAUACAUAAUUAGUGUGUUUGGAUAUACAGAUGUAUAGCUGAUUGGAAUGCGGCACACGUCGGCCAUUUCCCUGUGUUUUGCUGCCUGCGUCAUUUAGACAGCCAUUCUCUGCAUCAAGCUAACACUGCUUUCCAUUAUUUCUAUGGCAAAAACAACUUCUUUUAAACAACAACAAGAGGCAGUCUCAGAAACCUCAGAGACAGCAGAGUUCCUCCUCUUCAGCUCUUUGAGACCGCUUCUGAGUCAAACCACAUGGACUUUCAGGUUUAAUCAAGUGGCAGACUCUAGGACUUAAAAAUGAACCAGGGAACCAGUUUAGCUGAAAAAUUCAAAAAAUCAGAUCUCUUAAAAAACUGCAGCUUUGACAGGGGUCACUAGAGACUGGCUCCAAAAGCGAGUCAGUCCCCGCACACUCCUGACUUCAUAACAUUAAAAACAUGGACAUAGCUACCGUGAUGUCACUAACAGGUUUCUAAGGUGCUAUUUUGAUGAGCAGUGGGUGUGGCCAGAAGGGGGCGGGCGUGAAACAGCGAGCUCACUAUUAAAAGGCUUGUGGUUGACAAGUUGUUAGCUGCUGAGCACGUUUUAUGAUAAUCUUCCAAUUUGAAACACAGCAUGGACAUUACUCAGUAUGACCCGACAUGACUGACUGAGCCCAUAAACUCAUCAGGUCGAGACAGGAAGCGGUUUUCUCACUGACGUCCACAGGACUGGGAGUCUUUUUGCAAACACAGCUAUCGCCACCUGGUGGCCUUCAGAUGCUACAUCCACAUUUUAUACCAUCGAUGAUCACAAAGCACAUUUACAGCCUGGUAUAAAGUAACUUUUUAAAAAAUCUUUUUAUCUUUACUAAACCUCUCCAGGUGUUUUAUUGUGCCAAACACGUCUGUUUUUCCAAGAGGAGCACUAUAGACUAGGCUCUAUGGAUUUAUAACAACUUUAUCACUCAACAGAGCUUUUUUUAAAAACCUCAUCCACCUUCAUAUUGGACUCAAGGACAUGGUCACUUUGACUGACAGAGGUCGAUCAAGUUACUUAGCACUUAGCGUGUGCGUGUGUGUGUGUGUGUGUGUUUGUGUGUGUGUACCUAUGUGGUAGCUUUUAAACCAGCUUGCUUGCAUUUCUCUCUCGUUUCUCCCUAUGCUCACAUAUUAGCUUUUUCCACCUAUCCUGAAAAAGUCCCACAGCCUAGCAAAGUAAAAACAGCUUUGGUUUCUAUUCCAAUUAAUAACAGAUGUACUGAUAACUGGAAACAAGCAGGGAUUUUCCUUACCAAAACAAGAUGCAGAUUUUGAAAGUGCUGUUAAUAACUAAUUAACUAAUUAUCUGUAAGUUUGAGGGCUGUUUGGCGCAUAAGAACUUGUAUUCCAGCAUGAAAUUAGUCUGAUAGCUGACAGCUAAUCUAACAUCACAGCUUCACUCCGAGCUCCUCAGUCUCUGUGUAAUUCUAGAACAAAUAUUCACAACAAACAGUACAAGCUUCUGAGUUUUGCCUUCAUUUCUUUCUCUCAGCAGAGUAAGGUUAGAAGUAAGGUCAUCCUCACUGUCCAGGUAAAUCACAUCAACCUCCACGGACCGCAGCCCCUCAGGACACACACACGCACACAGUCGCUCACACAUGUAGUCCCAGCCUCACAAGCACAUCCUUCACUCACACACAUGCUUGUCUUCAGCCUCUCUGAAUGGUUGACAUUCACAUCAGUGGGGGAGCGUUUUACACAUGUGAUCACACAUUUGCAUGGUUUUCACACGACGUGAAAAAACACGAAACAAGAAAAGUGAUGUUCCCGAAUACACACAUCUGAUCUGCCAAAUCCUCACUUUUCUGGCAGAUUAUUUAACUCCAGCUGAGCUUCACAGUGCCUGAAUCAGCAGGCUGCUCACAACUGGCCAGCAGUAAGCAGUUGUGCCAGCACAUACAUGCACAUAGAGAGUGCCGUGAACUCCAGGAAGACCUCAUAAAUGAACGUGAUGUGGUGGAAGACUGAAACACUUUGGGUUUCUUCUUUAGGGAAUACCAAUUUUUUAAAAAUAAAGCCAUGCAGUGAAAACUCUGUGCACAUCUAAAACCUGGGCUCUGUGAUAAAUUUGAUGUUUUUGUACAUAAAUACAACUAAUAAAGGUUUUUGCUCAUUUUGAAUCAAUAUUGCCAAAAAACGGCUCAUGUCUUUCUUCUUGUUAAGGAUUCACAUGUCUGGAUUUGAAUGCUAGUUUAAUGUAGUUUUUUUGUAAAGUCUUUAGCAUUUUACCCAGUCUGAUGUCGUGAAAGCAAGCACCAGUUUUUUCAGGCUUCUAGUAGAGCAAGCAGAAAUCUUUGCAUCUGUCAUUGUUUAUUCAUGCAAAUUAUUUUAAAAGCUAACAAAAAGCGAAAUGUUUGUCAGAGAUGCUCACAUCCCGUUUCCCUUUAGCUCUAAAGACACUUUACCUGCAUGCAUCCAAAGCCUGUUCAAAGGUGACCACACACAAACUGACCACAAAAAACUGAAAACUUUCGUACAUAUUUCAGGAUGUCAGCGGGGCAGCUUGAGUUCUUGCUGGCAGAGCUGGGACCACAUCUGCAGGGGCAGAGGAAUCAUUUCAGAGAUCUGAUUGACCAGGAGCGGCGUCUAGCUGUACGCCUGAGGUAAAAUAGUAUUAUUUUACUAUUUCCACAUCAUUAGAUAUUCAGUACUGAUCUGUGUUUUGAGCCACAGCAAACUUAUUGCCAAAUGCAGCAUCUGACUGGUUGGAUGUUCGGAUCCAAAAAGUCAGAAAAAAUAAAUAAAUCUGUCCAGCAAAAUUAUGUGUGAACAGCUGCAUUAAAAAGAGGUAAGCCUGUGCGCCAGCUUAGCUCAAUGCGUCGAGCAGGCGAUCACAUGCCAAAGGGCUGAGAGCGGCCGGCCCGGGUUCGAGUCCGACCUGCGUCCUUUGCAGCAUGUCUUCUGUCUCUGCCCCUGCUUUCCUGUCCUCUCUUCAUUGUGUCUAUUGAAAAAGGCCAAUAAAAAGAAUAGGCGAGUCUAAAAAAAGCUUUUAACAUACAGAUCAUUCGUGCAGAUUUUACAGGUCUACUGUGUCGAGGCCUUAAGGCUGUCCUUGCUGCCCUCGAGGCGAAACUGUGGUACAUUUUUAUAUUUUAUGGCUACAUUUUCACUCAUAUUUUUCUAUUUUUUUAAUCCACUUUUAUGCUCAACAAAAGUGUUUACACAAAAGAUUCUCAGCAGUCCUUUCAGGCUACGAUCCUACAUACAGAGAUGAAUUCUUCAUGGAGGACCCCCCACUCGAAGCUAGUGCGACACGACCCAGAGCUUCUUGCUAUUGUGCUCGCUGCUGGUAUUAUCAUUGACUUCAUUGCAGCAGCCGUGCUAAAGACAUAACCUCAUCUCUUCCACCCACUCCUGAGCCAAUCUGCAGCACAAUCUCCAUUGUUUCAUCACGUUGACAUGACAAUAUCAGUCCCUCGCUGCCGAAACACAAUCUCGCAGUUAACUGGGGAUGAAAUGAAGCAAACGAGGGGAAAACAAUCUCCCCAAAGCCUCUUUGAGGGGAAAAUAUAAACUCUGGUUUUAGUAGUGUUUUUUUUAAGUGAAGCUACCAGGACAGUGUUUAAAGGCUGCACAUUUCAGCUCCUAGUGGGGAUCAUUUGGCGAGCAGAGACUUGAAAGACUGCCAGAAACCUUAACAAAGUGUAAGAGCAAGCUCGAGUGGGAUGUCUGUGCUGAAAACGACGUCCUAAGGCGGUCAGUGAAAAUCCAUAUGGACAUUCCUCGGCAAUUUUUUUUUUUUCCGAGAGCCUUUGAUCCUGCAGCGUCCGUCAAAGAGCUUCAGCAUGCGCCUCAGUUUUAGUCCGCCCCGUCUCACCCCACAGGAUAUUACGAACCCAAAGAGGGAUGUGAGUGUGUGCUGUGAAAAUGGAAUCACAGGCAAAUUAAUUCGAAAACAAGUUUGAGAUCUGUUUGGGUCAGGACUGGGACACAAACACGUCCUGUCUGCUGUUUUAUGUAGGCUGACAAACUGCCGAAGCACGCUACGAGAACAUGACAGGAAUGACAACAGCAACGGUCGUUACUCGCUAAAGAUUCUCCACAGCUGGCAGACUAACAAAGAAACAUUCGUUUAAUUGGGGGCUGAAUCCACCGGGGACACCAGGAGAAUGUAAUUAAGCGCUGGAAGGUCAGAAAAGUCGACAGAUCUGUGGCGCUCCAGAGAGCCGAGUCUUAGGAGGCACUCAGAAGAGGAAACUGUCGCCCAGUUCAGAGAAGAAACAUAGUGCCGGGAGCUUCAGAAGACACAUCCUUCGCUCUGCUUUUUUCUUGAUUUACAGCCACUCUGAAUAUGAAGCUAGCGGGCGCCCAGGGGAAACUGGCUGCACAGUGGGGAGAAAGUGGAUUGAAGAGAGCGAAAUAAACAUGCAGAAUCUAAACAUUCUCGGUGAAUUGCUGCUCAUCUGGAAGAGAACACUGACCACAGGCAACUCACGUUCUGAAUAAAUUCACCUCCAACGCUCAUCUGUAAGCAGGAUCGCCAUUUUUUUUAAAGCUCGACUCUGACGUCUGAACAGCACAGUGGAGUUUGGAUGUUUCGUCUAUGAAUGGUAUGUGUAAAUAAGACUAGUAUGGAAAAAUCUGAUUUUAUUGUGUCAGAAAACUUGAAAAAAAAGUGGAGUUUCGUGUCAAGUAACACAUGAAACUCACAGUAUAGCACCAGGUCAGUUAAACUGCGAGGAUAUCUACCCAGUCAGGAACUAUAAGCCUUUGUGAAUCAAUUUCAGCUCCUUUGAUGCACAUUUAACUGACAACAGGUGCACCGGAGAGGCAAAAACAAGACAAGCUCCAAAAAGGGAACAGAUUUGCAUAUGGUGGCCACAGACUACUGCUCUCUCUUUCUCCCUCCUGACUGAUACCUCCUAGUACUUUUUUGUAUUGUUACUAAUGUCCUUGAUACUGCUGAUAGCUUUAGAUGACACCUGCAGGCCAUUCAUGUGGCACAGACAGUCCACCUUCACAUACGUGGAGAUACCCAGAUACCCACUACAUGAGGAGAGCUGGACAGAAGCGUUAACCUAGCAGUGAGACUGGUAUAUCUGGUAUUUGGAAUGGGAGAAGGCCGCCAGGAAACCUACAAAAUUACCUUCAGGGCCACUCAUAUGCUUGUUCUCACCAAACUGUAAGAACUGGACUACAAGAGGGUGAAACGAGAUCCUGAGAUCCUUUAGUGCGAUCGGUGCUUACAGUCCAGCAUUGCAUGGCUCAACUGGCAUUUUUCGGGGAACACCAGAACUGGGAGAUCCAUCACUGGCACCUUGUUGCUUUCACUGAUGGCAGCAAAUUCACACUGAGGAAAUGUGACAGGCGUGAAAGAGUCUGGAGACGUCUGCCUGAAGCAUCAUUCACGAUGACUGGUUUGGCAGUGGGUCGGUCUUGGAGGGUCUCACGGACCUCAGUGUGGUGGCCGACAUCACCCUGACUGCUGAAUGAAAUCCUGAGACCCACUAUCAGACCCUACUGUACAGUACAGUAAGGUCUGAUAUGGUGGAUUGCUUUAAAUUUAUCAGUGCUCACUGCAGUUUGCACAAAUGUAACUGUAUCUAUGGAAAAAUCUGAGCAUCUUUGAUUAUAUGUAGCUUGCCAUCACCAGUGUGUGAAUGUGUGUGUGAAUGGGUGGAUGACUAGAUGUGUAAAGCGCUUUGGGGUCCUUACCAUUUAUACACAAUUUGUAUGAACUUUUACGUAACAGAGAAAGAUCAAGUUUUUUGUUGCCUUAACAGCCGGAUGAAAAGACUCCUCAUUAUCCAGUUUGUACAUGCAACAAUCGUCCCACUGCAAAUUUUAAGAGCAGAUCUCCAUCUAUAAUUUCCAGGUCCCAACAGAUAUUCACGCAAAACAAGAGAUAUGCAUUUGAUUCUAAAUGCAAGUUGCUUGUAAGGAAAAGCCACUAAAAUAAUGUCAAAAACCGAAGCAACCCCCACCGAUGAAAUGUAGUCCAUCACUGCUCAAAAUAACAGUGAAACCAAACUUUUACUUUAUUGUCUAAAGAAUGGAAGAAAGAAAAUAACAAAAUGCCCUCAAAUGCAUCUGUACCAUUUAGCCACACUGCGAUGUAGGUCAGUAGUUCCAGGUAGCAAAACACUCCAUAUUGAAGCAGGAGUAAAAAGAAAAUCUGUCAGAAUGUAGGGCAGAGAGGGGAGGAGGGGAGGUUUUCAGUCCUUCGCUUCAGUCUCUGUCGUCUUUCCUGACCGCGGUGGCUUAGCUUCACAUGCUCUCUGGCUGGCCCGGUGUCGGCAGUGGCCUAUAAAUACCUGCCAUGUUUAAACACCCAGGUAACCUCAAUACCGAACAGCAGCCUAACACACAAAGCCUUUACCAUAACACCGCUGCAAGCACAACCGCUGUU
This is a long non-coding RNA of Oreochromis niloticus (Nile tilapia), 7398 nucleotides long. RefSeq lists it as uncharacterized. The transcript has 3 exons. The record is from RefSeq and is a predicted model, not a curated record. Lineage: Eukaryota; Metazoa; Chordata; Actinopteri; Cichliformes; Cichlidae.